CUACGGGCUGCACCAGUGGGGAAUAUUGCACAAUGGGGGAAACCCUGAUGCAGCAACGCCGCGUGGAGGAUGACACAUUUCGGUGCGUAAACUCCUUUUAUAUUUGAAGAUAAUGACGGUAAAAUAUGAAUAAGCUCCGGCUAACUCCGUGCCAGCAGCCGCGGUAAUACGGGGGGAGCAAGCGUUACUCGGAAUUACUGGGCGUAAAGCGCAUGUAGGCGGGUCAUUAAGUUGGAAGUGAAAUCCUAUGGCUCAACCAUAGAACUGCUUCCAAAACUGGUGACCUAGAAUGUGGGAGAGGUAGAUGGAAUUUCUGGUGUAGGGGUAAAAUCCGUAGAGAUCAGAAGGAAUACCGAUUGCGAAGGCGAUCUACUGGAACACUAUUGACGCUGAGAUGCAAAAGCGUGGGGAGCAAACAGGAUUAGAUACCCGGGUAGUC
Molecule: ribosomal RNA, 439 nt
Filed under: uncultured bacterium
Lineage: Bacteria
Description: partial 16S ribosomal RNA
Rfam family: Bacterial small subunit ribosomal RNA
Source: RNAcentral